AAUGAAACUUAGGAAUUCUCAAGAGCAGAAUAAAAACUAUGUGUAUAUUUCAGAUUUCUCUCUCUACAAACUGGAGGUCUCCUGCUCAGACAAAGCCCACAGACAAACACACGAGACCUACCCUGAGAAUGGACUGUAUCGUCUGUAGUGGGCAGCAGGGAAAGGGCCAUCUGUAUCCUCGCCUCUCUCCGUUCCUCACUCACCUCCCUGGGAGCUCCUCUCCUCAGCUGCCUCU
This is a non-coding RNA of Plectropomus leopardus (leopard coralgrouper), 235 nucleotides long. The record is from RefSeq and is a predicted model, not a curated record. NCBI's taxonomy places the organism in Eukaryota, Metazoa, Chordata, Actinopteri, Perciformes, Serranidae.